This 766-nucleotide long non-coding RNA is filed under the name Chinchilla lanigera (long-tailed chinchilla). RNAcentral describes it as "lncRNA (ENSCLAG00000024635.1)". The record is from RNAcentral. Lineage: Eukaryota; Metazoa; Chordata; Mammalia; Rodentia; Chinchillidae.
CUGGAGAGCAGACACUUGAAAGGCAGCCGCAAUGGCUCUGCUGUACGGUAAUUUAACCCAGAGGUAAAGGACGGCCAAGACAGACCGCGCCGGAAGAGGAAAUCAAGAUCCCUGGGUUUCUCAGCUGCGGGAGAAACUCUGAGACGCACAGUCACUGAGCAAGGACAGCUGAAAAAGCGCGUGAGGAAAGCAGCUGAGACAGCGGUGGGAAAGCCCGCGGACUGGCCGGUCAGAAGGGCAAGCCAAGGGCAACAAGGAAACAGCAACAAAUGGUGCCCACAGCUUCCGAAUCUUCCAGAUGAAGGGCAUACAAGUCCCUUGGGAAUUAACAACACAAAGGUCACUGUUGACAUGAGCCACCAGGUAGGGCUGUAUGUAUGGUGGGGAGAAAGGCACGGAGAUUAGAACCGCUAAAGUGGAGAAAAUGCAUUACAUAUGCCGAUGGGGAAUUCAUUCAAGAAGACUAUAUCCUGAAGUACAGAGUGAAGGACCCUGUCAUAAGGGAGUGGCCCCCUGCGUCCUCCUCCACUGCGAGCCCACAGAAGCUAAGACCACAGGCGGCUGCUCAAAGUAUGCUCUGAACAGCUCUCCUUCUUGUCCCCACCCUUUGAAAACGAGAAGAAGAAUUAUGACUGCCAGAAUGUCUGCCCAUUGUGCGAUCACUGAUGUUUUGCUCAUUAUUUUAAAAAAACCUCUCCUUUGUGAUGUCAUAAAACACACGUGUGGUACAGAAUCGCCAAGCACAAAGGGAGAUGCACAAUGCUAG